Molecule: ribosomal RNA, 253 nt
Filed under: uncultured bacterium
Lineage: Bacteria
Description: partial 16S ribosomal RNA
Rfam family: Bacterial small subunit ribosomal RNA
Source: RNAcentral
UACGUAGGGUGCAAGCGUUGUCCGGAAUUAUUGGGCGUAAAGAGCUCGUAGGCGGUCUGUUGCGUCAGGAGUGAAAACUCGGGGCUUAACCCCGAGCCUGCUUCUGAUACGGGCAGACUAGAGGUAUGCAGGGGAGAACGGAAUUCCUGGUGUAGCGGUGAAAUGCGCAGAUAUCAGGAGGAACACCACCUGCGAAGGCAGCUCGCUGGGACGCAACUGACGCUGAGACGCGAAAGCGUGGGGAGCAAACAGG